Molecule: transfer RNA, 73 nt
Filed under: Opsariichthys bidens
Lineage: Eukaryota; Metazoa; Chordata; Actinopteri; Cypriniformes; Xenocyprididae
Description: tRNA-Leu
Rfam family: tRNA
About the family: Transfer RNA (tRNA) molecules are approximately 80 nucleotides in length. Their secondary structure includes four short double-helical elements and three loops (D, anti-codon, and T loops). Further hydrogen bonds mediate the characteristic L-shaped molecular structure. tRNAs have two regions of fundamental functional importance: the anti-codon, which is responsible for specific mRNA codon recognition, and the 3' end, to which the tRNAs corresponding amino acid is attached (by aminoacyl-tRNA synthetases). tRNAs cope with the degeneracy of the genetic code in two manners: having more than one tRNA (with a specific anti-codon) for a particular amino acid; and 'wobble' base-pairing, i.e. permitting non-standard base-pairing at the 3rd anti-codon position.
Source: RNAcentral
GUUUUUGAAGGAAAACAGUUCAUCCGAGGGUCUUAGGAACCAAAAACUCUUGGUGCAAAUCCAAGCAGAAACU